UGAGAUUAAUUAAAAUCUCAAUUAGGUUCCAUUUAAACACAAUUUAAAGUUGCAGAUUAUAACAAAAUGACAUCUGUACAUCUUCCAAAUCCAAAGCAGUCAAUCUGAUCAUGUUUCUAACACUGCCACACUGCAGUACUUUCACUGACACAUAUCUGCUUUCUCUACUGGGCACAAUGAAAUCUGCAAUUUCUCUGCCUAGAACAAUUAAUAUUCAGUAUUCUGAACACCUUUGACUGCCACUGAGCUGUGAGAGAGGAGGAAACGGCCCCUCAUGGGAUCAUGCCUGGCACAAGAAGUAACAACAUAAAAAAGACAGCUAAGCUUCACAAACCUCCCAGUUACGAUGAACAAUGCAGGUAGGUGUUUUUUUGAUGCAGUCAUUUUUUCCUGGGCUUAAGGUGUGCUCAGAAUUACCCAGCUGCAGUUCAGCAGUCACACCUAUUUCACUUGCCUGGCCUAUUUCUGUUUGAAUAAAACCCAAGGCUGAAAGCCCCUUUUCCUCUUGCUUUGUCCCCUUAACAUCACCUUUUUAUCUUCACAACACCCUUUGAAGGGUAUUUACUGAAAGGAUGAGAGAGUGGUUAUCACACACAACUGAAAACUUAAAAAAAAAAAGACCAGGAAUUUCAAUAAACUUUCUCUGUAGCUAGAUCAAGGACUAGAGAUCCUCACUCCUACUGCAAACAACCUGCAGGAUCUGAGAUGAUUUCUACCCAGCUAUCUCCAGUUUACCUGUUCCAUUAAGAUAGGAUGCCUGUUUAACUGAGUUCUAGAUGAAAGUUGCAUGAACAUGCAAUUUAGAAAGCUUGCUUCAAUGAUAAAUUUAAUGGCCUUUUCAGUUUUUUAAAAAUUAGUCAAGCCUUGUUUAGGAGACAGUUUAGGUAGAACUAGAUGUACAGCGUCAACAGACCUCUACCAUUACAGCCUGGAGAGGUUUGGAUUGAAGAAGCAAGGUGGAUUAGUAGACAACUUUAAUUUCUGGGUUUACAUGUGUAUGAAUACACUUGCCACAAAAAGACUGCAUAUUCAUACUACUUUGACUCACACCAGGAACCUGCAAAAAGUAAAGAUAGUAAGUCACUCAGCACAGGGGGAAAGGCAAAAUACUUAAGAAUCAUUAACCAGCUACAGAGGCCAGAGUUGGAACUGAAGCACACCAAAAUUGUCUGACACAAUUGUAAUACCUAAUUUUCUAUGGGCAUCUCUUUGCAGCAGCCUCCUAGCCUUCCCUCCCAGCUGUGAAAAGUUGCAAGAUUUAUAUUCAAGCCCUCUGCUACUCCAGGAAAUCAAGAUGAUGAGUGUUGACAGUUGCUAGGAACACAUUUUAUGUCAGUGCAUGCAAGUGCUCAAGCACCCUGAGAAUACCAUUUGAUAACAAAAUCUGAGCUAAGACAACCCAAACCACGAAGGGAGUUCAGUUGACAACCACUCAGCCACUCACCAGAGGGAGCCCAUUUUCCCCAAAAGCCGGUAUUUGUAGUACAGCCAAUCUGCUGGUUCCUCAGAACUACCCCGUUAAAAACUCUGCAGCUGCUGGGAGGAGUAGCUGCCAACUAAGGGAGGCACACGGACAUGCUGUGAACAGGAAAGGACAGAGUGUAAAGGGUUUUUGUAGCUGCUUGAUUAGUACCUUCUGCAGCACAAAAUGUUCUUUAUUGAAGAAGUUGCUAUAUUGGAGUUUCAAAUGGAAUGUGUCUGGAAGAAACCAGUUAUGUAUCUGCAGCAUGUCACUGAUAGAGGUGAUUUUAUACUGUCCUAGGUAGGCUUCUUGUUAUUAUUUGUUAGACUGUAUUUGUGAUAUAUUGCCAUUGAACACUUUAUGCCAGGUUCUUGCAAGAAAACUAUUGAUUUUCAAUAGAAAAAUAAAGAUUUUUUCAAAGACAGACCCUUCUCACUUUACCUUUCCUCAAGGGGAGAAUCAACCUUCUAAUAUACUGGUGUACCUCAUACAUACUUUAAAGUCCAAGUGCAAAGCUUUAGUAAUAUAAUUUGCAUCUCAACUAAGCACAGAAUAAAGUCUGAGCUCAUAGCUAACACUGGAACAAGUCCUGCCCAGGAAGGACCUGCAGCUCCUUCCAGAGCCAGACUGUGUGCACACAAUGUUUGGAAUAGGGCAUGAUACAGAGGUCCCUUGGCAGAUUUCAGAACCUGGCAGAGCUGUAAAAGUGGAGAUUUUUUUGUGCUGCUGGGUGGUUUGAUUUUUUUGGUUUGGGUUUUUGUUAGUUUUUUUUUUUAAUCUUUAGCCAGGUAAACAGAAGAUCUGUGUAGCAGCAAAACUCCCCUGCUGCCUAUCCAAACAGGAAAAUCUUGCUAGUGAAGACAUACUUACAUCAGUAAGCACGUGCUCCUGGCACUAGAAGAUUAUCUACAGUUUCAUACCUUCUGAUAUCUGUCUUUUACUUUCCUUAAUAUCAUGAGAUAUUACUAAGUUACUACUUUUGCUUCUGGAGUCUUCUGUGUUUAUGUUUGUUUCCCAAAUACUGAUUAAUGUAAUUCCUCUGCACUUUUCACAGAUACUGUGAGGCAGCACUCAGUAGAUGCCAUAGCACAGACCUGAACUACUGAUAAGUAAAAAUCAAGCCCCAUUGAUUACUUGCCUUCAAUGGAAGGCAUAUUUGUUGGUGCAGUCAUUUUUAAAAUUUCCCUUUCAGGUUUGCAAUAUUGAAGCCACACAUUUUUUGCCACUUGUCAGACUAAUUCAAUAGCAAAAUCCAAGCAACAAGAAUUUGAUCUGGUCUGUAUCUUCAGAAACAUCCUGAAAUACAGCCAGCUGAUUUUUAUUUGAAGGUUUGAUUACAGAACUCAGGCUGGGUCUAUCAUCCAUUUUUGGAAAGGUUCCACAUUAAUGGGGACUCACUGGUCCAUCAUAGAUACUGAAUCUCAACACAGCACUGGAUAGACACCAGCCUACCAGAACUUCAUUGUACCAAGUUAAUCUGAGGUUGAAACAAGAAGACAAAAUAAAGAUAUUGACAUACUCAAUUACAUUUGGGAAUGAGUAUGGAAUCUGGAAAUCCCUUCGUCAGGUGCAUACAGCUUUUUGGCUCAGAAGAGCUCUUAGUGUUAAGCACACACAAAAUGGUAAAAUAUUCCACAGGCAGUCUUUAAAAUAAAGAAUUCUGUUACA
Zonotrichia albicollis (white-throated sparrow) is the source of this 3130-nucleotide non-coding RNA. The record is from RefSeq and is a predicted model, not a curated record. NCBI's taxonomy places the organism in Eukaryota, Metazoa, Chordata, Aves, Passeriformes, Passerellidae.